AUCGCUUCUCGGCCUUUUGGCUAAGAUCAAGUGUAGGACUCCAUUACAUAAAUGUGGCACAUUUAAGUCACAUUCCUUUUAAGAGUCACCAAAAUAUUAGUUUAUCUUGGGGGCCUCCACAUGACCUUUGAGUUCUGAAGGGGCUGCCUGC
Molecule: small nuclear RNA, 151 nt
Organism: Heterocephalus glaber (naked mole-rat)
Lineage: Eukaryota; Metazoa; Chordata; Mammalia; Rodentia; Bathyergidae
Gene: U2
Rfam family: U2 spliceosomal RNA
About the family: U2 is a small nuclear RNA (snRNA) component of the spliceosome (involved in pre-mRNA splicing). Complementary binding between U2 snRNA (in an area lying towards the 5' end but 3' to hairpin I) and the branchpoint sequence (BPS) of the intron results the bulging out of an unpaired adenosine, on the BPS, which initiates a nucleophilic attack at the intronic 5' splice site, thus starting the first of two transesterification reactions that mediate splicing.
Source: Ensembl